UACGGGAGGCAGCAGUAGGGAAUCUUCCGCAAUGGACGAAAGUCUGACGGAGCAACGCCGCGUGAGUGAUGAAGGUUUUCGGAUCGUAAAGCUCUGUUGUUAGGGAAGAACAAGUGCCGUUCAAAUAGGGCGGCACCUUGACGGUACCUAACCAGAAAGCCACGGCUAACUACGUGCCAGCAGCCGCGGUAAUACGUAGGUGGCAAGCGUUGUCCGGAAUUAUUGGGCGUAAAGGGCUCGCAGGCGGUUUCUUAAGUCUGAUGUGAAAGCCCCCGGCUCAACCGGGGAGGGUCAUUGGAAACUGGGGAACUUGAGUGCAGAAGAGGAGAGUGGAAUUCCACGUGUAGCGGUGAAAUGCGUAGAGAUGUGGAGGAACACCAGUGGCGAGCGACUCUCUGGUCUGUAACUGACGCUGAGGAGCGAAAGCGUGGGGAGCGAACAGGAUUAGAUACCCUGGUAGUCCACGCCGUAAACGAUGAGUGCUAAGUGUUAGGGGGUUUCCGCCCCUUAGUGCUGCAGCUAACGCAUUAAGCACUCCGCCUGGAGAUACGGUCGCAAGACUGAAACUCAAAGGAAUUGACGGGGGCCCGCACAAGCGGUGGAGCAUGUGGUUUAAUUCGAAGCAACGCGAAGAACCUUACCAGGUCUUGACAUCCUCUGACAAUCCUAGAGAUAGGACGUCCCCUUCGGGGGCAGAGUGACAGGUGGUGCAUGGUUGUCGUCAGCUCGUGUCGUGAGAUGUUGGGUUAAGUCCCGCAACGAGCGCAACCCUUGAUCUUAGUUGCCAGCAUUCAGUUGGGCACUCUAAGGUGACUGCCGGUGACAAACCGGA
Molecule: ribosomal RNA, 832 nt
Filed under: Bacillus siamensis
Lineage: Bacteria; Bacillati; Bacillota; Bacilli; Caryophanales; Bacillaceae
Description: bacterial SSU rRNA
Rfam family: Bacterial small subunit ribosomal RNA
Source: RNAcentral